RNAcentral lists this ribosomal RNA (439 nucleotides) under uncultured bacterium. RNAcentral describes it as "partial 16S ribosomal RNA". It matches the Rfam family "Bacterial small subunit ribosomal RNA", at positions 339 to 795 of the family's 1533-position model. The record is from RNAcentral.
CUACGGGUGGCAGCAGUGGGGAAUAUUGCACAAUGGAGGAAACUCUGAUGCAGCAACGCCGCGUGGAGGAUGACACUUUUCGGAGCGUAAACUCCUUUUAUAUAGGAAGAAGAUGACGGUACUAUAUGAAUAAGCGCCGGCUAACUCCGUGCCAGCAGCCGCGGUAAUACGGAGGGCGCAAGCGUUACUCGGAAUCACUGGGCGUAAAGAGCGUGUAGGCGGAUUAAAAAGUCAGAAGUGAGAUCCUAUAGCUUAACUAUAGAACUGCUUCUGAAACUCUUAAUCUAGAAUAUGGGAGAGGUAGAUGGAAUUUCUGGUGUAGGGGUAAAAUCCGUAGAGAUCAGAAGGAAUACCGAUUGCGAAGGCGAUCUACUAGAACAUUAUUGACGCUGAGACGCGAAAGCGUGGGGAGCAAACAGGAUUAGAUACCCCUGUAGUC